UACGGAGGGUGCAAGCGUUGUUCGGAAUCAUUGGGCGUAAAGGGCGUGUAGGCGGUUUGUUAAGUCAUGUGUGAAAGCCCUCGGCUUAACCGGGGAACGGCGCAUGAAACUGGCGAGCUAGAGUACUGAAGAGGGGGGUGGAAUUCCAGGUGUAGCGGUGAAAUGCGUAGAUAUCUGGAGGAACACCGGUGGCGAAGGCGGCCCCCUGGUCGGAUACUGACGCUAAUACGCGAAAGCGUGGGGAGCAAACAGG
Molecule: ribosomal RNA, 253 nt
Filed under: uncultured bacterium
Lineage: Bacteria
Description: partial 16S ribosomal RNA
Rfam family: Bacterial small subunit ribosomal RNA
Source: RNAcentral